UACGUAGGGUGCGAGCGUUGUCCGGAAUUACUGGGCGUAAAGGGCGCGUAGGCGGCCGAUCAAGUCAGGCGUGAAAUUCCCGGGCUCAACCUGGGGGCUGCGCUUGAUACUGAUGGGCUUGAAUGCGGGAGAGGAUAGUGGAAUUCCCAGUGUAGAGGUGAAAUUCGUAGAUAUUGGGAAGAACACCGGUGGCGAAGGCGGCGACCUGGUCUGAUACUGACGCUGGGGCGCG
Molecule: ribosomal RNA, 232 nt
Filed under: uncultured bacterium
Lineage: Bacteria
Description: partial 16S ribosomal RNA
Rfam family: Bacterial small subunit ribosomal RNA
Source: RNAcentral